This 433-nucleotide ribosomal RNA is filed under the name uncultured bacterium. RNAcentral's name for it is "partial 16S ribosomal RNA". It matches the Rfam family "Bacterial small subunit ribosomal RNA", at positions 29 to 507 of the family's 1533-position model. The record is from RNAcentral.
AACGAACGCUGGCGGCAUGCCUAACACAUGCAAGUCGAACGAGACCUUCGGGUCUAGUGGCGCACGGGUGCGUAACGCGUGGGAACCUGCCUUUAGGUUCGGAAUAACUCAGAGAAAUUUGAGCUAAUACCGGAUGAUGUCUUCGGACCAAAGAUUUAUCGCCUUUAGAUGGGCCCGCGUUGGAUUAGCUAGUUGGUGGGGUAAAGGCCUACCAAGGCGACGAUCCAUAGCUGGUCUGAGAGGAUGAUCAGCCACACUGGGACUGAGACACGGCCCAGACUCCUACGGGAGGCAGCAGUGGGGAAUAUUGGACGAUGGGCGAAAGCCUGAUCCAGCAAUGCCGCGUGAGUGAGGAAGGCCUUAGGGUUGUAAAGCUCUUUUACCCGAGAUGAUAAUGACAGUAUCGGGAGAAUAAGCUCCGGCUAACUCCGUG